UCGAGAAUCUUCCGCAAUGGACGAAAGUCUGACGGAGCGACGCCGCGUGCGGGAUGAAGGCCCUUGGGUUGUAAACCGCUGUCAGAGGGGAUGAAAUCUUCGGAGGUACUCCUCCGAAGUUGACAGAGCCUCAAAGGAAGCACGGGCUAAGUACGUGCCAGCAGCCGCGGUAACACGUACUGUGCGAACGUUAUUCGGAAUCACUGGGCUUAAAGGGUGCGUAGGCGGCGAUUCAAGUCAGAUGUGAAAUGCCUGAGCUCAACUGAGGCAUUGCGUUUGAAACUGAUUCGCUGGAGUAUUUCAGGGGUGUGCGGAACUGCCAGUGGAGCGGUGAAAUGUGUUGAUAUUGGCAGGAACACCGGAGGCGAAAGCGGCACACUGGGGAAUAACUGACGCUGAGGCACGAAAGCCAGGGGAGCGAACGGGAUCAGAUACCCUAGUAGUCCCUGAGCGGGCUGGCAAGGCGCAU
Molecule: ribosomal RNA, 469 nt
Filed under: uncultured bacterium
Lineage: Bacteria
Description: bacterial SSU rRNA
Rfam family: Bacterial small subunit ribosomal RNA
Source: RNAcentral